GGUCUGGUCUGCCCAGUGGGGUGCGCCCUUAACGGCUGCAGUAAAUGGCAACCAAAGUAGUUUAAUUUACUUGCCCUUUAAUGGUGGAGCUAUCGAGAAUGAUACAACGAGAGCUAAGCUGUCUCGGUGGUAGUGAUAUGAAAAUAUAGUGUUGGUGAAUAUACCAAUGUAGCGUAGAGGGACGAGAAGACCCCGUGGAGCUUUAGGGUUAGUUUAGUCUUGGGGGUUAGCAAAUGAUGGGGUAUCUUUUCUCAAUGAUCUAAGAUUAUCUCUUAGGCUAAGCAGGCCUUUAGGCUGGGGCAGCCGGGCGGGAAAAGUAUACUGUUUGGAACUACGUAGGCUAGCCUGCUCUGACGAUCCACCAUAGAGUGUGAUAGACGGAAUCAGUUACCCCGGGGGUAACAGUUUAAUUGCGCUUUUUAUGAGACGUUAUCUAAAAGCGUGCUUGGCACCUCGAUGUUGCCUUAGGAUUCCCUUGAAGUCGCAGGAGAUUUUAUAGGUUGGUCUGUUCGCCCAUUAAAAUCC
Molecule: ribosomal RNA, 525 nt
Filed under: Limatula hodgsoni
Lineage: Eukaryota; Metazoa; Mollusca; Bivalvia; Limoida; Limidae
Description: partial 16S ribosomal RNA
Rfam family: Bacterial large subunit ribosomal RNA
Source: RNAcentral